RNAcentral lists this ribosomal RNA (835 nucleotides) under Microbacterium sp. OSR54. Its description in RNAcentral is "bacterial SSU rRNA". It matches the Rfam family "Bacterial small subunit ribosomal RNA", at positions 631 to 1457 of the family's 1533-position model. The record is from RNAcentral. Lineage: Bacteria; Bacillati; Actinomycetota; Actinomycetes; Micrococcales; Microbacteriaceae.
AACGGGCAGACUAGAAGUGCCGGUAGGGGAGAUUGGAAUUCCUUGGUGUAGCGGUGGAAUGCGCAGAUAUCAGGAGGAACACCGAUGGCGAAGGCAGGAUCUCUGGGCCCGUAACUGACGCUGAGGAGCGAAAGGGGUGGGGAGCAAACAGGCUUAGAUACCCUGGUAGUCCACCCCGUAAACGUUGGGAACUAGUUGUGGGGUCCAUUCCACGGAUUCCGUGACGCAGCUAACGCAUUAAGUUCCCCGCCUGGGGAGUACGGCCGCAAGGCUAAAACUCAAAGGAAUUGACGGGGACCCGCACAAGCGGCGGAGCAUGCGGAUUAAUUCGAUGCAACGCGAAGAACCUUACCAAGGCUUGACAUAUACGAGAACGGGCCAGAAAUGGUCAACUCUUUGGACACUCGUAAACAGGUGGUGCAUGGUUGUCGUCAGCUCGUGUCGUGAGAUGUUGGGUUAAGUCCCGCAACGAGCGCAACCCUCGUUCUAUGUUGCCAGCACGUAAUGGUGGGAACUCAUGGGAUACUGCCGGGGUCAACUCGGAGGAAGGUGGGGAUGACGUCAAAUCAUCAUGCCCCUUAUGUCUUGGGCUUCACGCAUGCUACAAUGGCCGGUACAAAGGGCUGCAAUACCGCGAGGUGGAGCGAAUCCCAAAAAGCCGGUCCCAGUUCGGAUUGAGGUCUGCAACUCGACCUCAUGAAGUCGGAGUCGCUAGUAAUCGCAGAUCAGCAACGCUGCGGUGAAUACGUUCCCGGGUCUUGUACACACCGCCCGUCAAGUCAUGAAAGUGGGUAACACCUGAAGCCGGUGCCUAACCCUUGUGGACGGAGCCGUC